RNAcentral lists this long non-coding RNA (1411 nucleotides) under Cairina moschata (Muscovy duck). Its description in RNAcentral is "domestica (muscovy Duck (domestic type)) lncRNA (ENSCMMG00000006701.1)". Lineage: Eukaryota; Metazoa; Chordata; Aves; Anseriformes; Anatidae. The record is from RNAcentral.
CGGGAAGGAUGGCUGGGACUGCACAGAGCUGAAUCCUGUUGGUCUGUUCCCUCAUCACUGCUGAGCUUGUGGGAAUCAGGUGGGAGUCUGGGUAGGUGUCAGGACCUUUUGGACUCUUACUCUCUCCUGUUUGACACACUCUUACUGUGCCCUGACAGUUGUUUUCAGAAUAAAUUAUCCGUCACUGCUUCUUUCCUGUCCUUUUACUUUCAUUCCAGUAAAGUUCAGAGGCAAGGAUCUGACUACAAUUUUACUGUCUUUGCUUUUGACACCUCCAUAGCUGCCAAGCAGAGUGGUUAUCUCUAUGAAAUGUCAUUGCUGGAACUCAGAUUCUGGAGCACCCUCUGGCCCCACACCCCUCAGAAGCUGAGAAGGGCCGGGUGCUCCUCAGCAGUGCUGCUGCUCCCAGGCCUAUUGAAGGUACUGCUGAACCUUUCCCAGGAACUUGUCUCUGCAUGCUGUGAAGACAACAUGCUCUCUGCUGUUUGGAUCAAUGCUACAAGGACCAUGGGAGUUGGUGAGGUUGUCUUGUUGAAUAUAACCUGUCUCUUGCUCUUCACAUGAGCUCUUUAAUGAUUUUCUAAUAUUGCAAAAUUCAAGUCUCUGGUGGGUAACUGGGAAAUGUUUGCCAACAGCUCUUCUGCAGCGCAGGAUUGACUUUUGUAACAGGAAUCAUUGCGGGGACAGGAUUCAUUCGCAAUCCAUAUCCUUCUCCUCUUCACUGGGACAGGAGUUGGCAGCCAGGGGUUGGCAGAUGCUUAUCAAAAUGUCUAUUACUAAACAAAAACUGGCUUUUAGUCUACAUGUGUUUCUAGCUAAUGAGAACUACCUGUUUGUAUCCUUUCCCCAGAUAAUGCGAAGUUGGUUUAUUUUUCCCAAUUAAUGCAUAGUUAUUUGGAUUAAAAGCAGGCUAUGCUGUGUAACCCUCCUGCCAAGUACUUAAACUCCUAAUUAACUGGUCCUCUUAGGACUUGGUUCUUUUCUAUGAGCAAUGCCAGUAUUGCUAAAAUUUGUAGUGUGGUCAAGAAUAGCCUGUGCUUUCUGCUUGGCACUUCCAGGAACACUUUGUUCAUGAAACAAGAUAGGUUUUCCCACCUUUAUUUUGGGGAUUUUUUCCCUCUUUUUGGACCUGAUGGUAGCAUUCUCAUCUUAUCCAAUUUGAUCCACAUAUUCCCUACCUCAUCUAUCUGAACAUCAAUAAAUUUAUUGCCAAAACUUUAGUCUUAAAAAGAAACCUUACCCCAUGCAGAAAUGGCCUUGGUGAUGCUGUCUACACAGCUGUUGCCAGUUAAUGGAGCAGUGGGCUCUUCCUUUAAAAAGAAAUGGUAUUUAGGGGCUGGGGAGGAGAAAGUGUUUUGAAUGAGACCUUAGUGAGACUGUGCACCAGCUGGAGCAUGGUGAUUUUUGCUAU